AAUCAACGCUGGCGGCGUGCUUAACACAUGCAAGUCGAGCGGGGUGAUGGUGCUUGCACUAUCACUUAGCGGCGGACGGGUGAGUAAUGCUUAGGAAUCUGCCUAUUAGUGGGGGACAACAUCUCGAAAGGGAUGCUAAUACCGCAUACGUCCUACGGGAGAAAGCAGGGGAUCACUUGUGACCUUGCGCUAAUAGAUGAGCCUAAGUCGGAUUAGCUAGUUGGUGGGGUAAAGGCCUACCAAGGCGACGAUCUGUAGCGGGUCUGAGAGGAUGAUCCGCCACACUGGGACUGAGACACGGCCCAGACUCCUACGGGAGGCAGCAGUGGGGAAUAUUGGACAAUGGGGGGAACCCUGAUCCAGCCAUGCCGCGUGUGUGAAGAAGGCCUUAUGGUUGUAAAGCACUUUAAGCGAGGAGGAGGCUCUUUUGGUUAAUACCCAAGAUGAGUGGACGUUACUCGCAGAAUAAGCACCGGCUAACUCUGUGCCAGCCGCCGCCGUAA
RNAcentral lists this ribosomal RNA (503 nucleotides) under uncultured bacterium. RNAcentral's name for it is "partial 16S ribosomal RNA". It matches the Rfam family "Bacterial small subunit ribosomal RNA", at positions 32 to 523 of the family's 1533-position model. The record is from RNAcentral.